AACGAACGCUGGCGGCGCGCCUAAUACAUGCAAGUCGAGCGAGAAGACGUAGCAAUACGUUUGUAAAGCGGCGAACGGGUGAGGAAUACAUGGGUAACCUACCCUCGAGUGGGGAAUAACUAGCCGAAAGGUUAGCUAAUACCGCGUACGCUCCUUGGACUUCGGUUCAGGGAGGAAAGCGAUACCGUGGGUAUCGCGCUCUUGGAUGGGCUCAUGUCCUAUCAGCUUGUUGGNGAGGUAACGGCUCACCAAGGCUUCGACGGGUAGCUGGUCUGAGAGGACGAUCAGCCACACUGGCACUGCGACACGGGCCAGACUCCUACGGGAGGCAGCAGUAAGGAAUAUUGCGCAAUGGGCGAAAGCCUGACGCAGCGACGCCGCGUGGGGGAUGAAGGUCUUCGGAUUGUAAACCCCUUUCGGGAGGGAAGAUGGAACGAGCAAUCGUUCGGACGGUACCUCCAGAAGCAGCCACGGCUAACUUCGUGCCAGCAGCCGCCGUAAC
This 502-nucleotide ribosomal RNA is filed under the name uncultured bacterium. RNAcentral's name for it is "bacterial SSU rRNA". It matches the Rfam family "Bacterial small subunit ribosomal RNA", at positions 29 to 524 of the family's 1533-position model. The record is from RNAcentral.